This 548-nucleotide ribosomal RNA is filed under the name fungal endophyte. RNAcentral's name for it is "eukaryotic LSU rRNA". The stretch from base 196 to 349 matches the Rfam family "5.8S ribosomal RNA". The record is from RNAcentral. Lineage: Eukaryota; Fungi.
UGGAAGUAAAAAGUCGUAACAAGGUCUCCGUUGGUGAACCAGCGGAGGGAUCAUUACUGAGUACUACACUCUCUACCCUUUGUGAACUAUUAUACCUGUUGCUUCGGCGGCGCCCGCGAGGGCGCCCGCCGGUCCCAUCAGAAUCUCUGUUUUCGAACCCGACGAUACUUCUGAGUGUUCUUAGCGAACUGUCAAAACUUUUAACAACGGAUCUCUUGGCUCCAGCAUCGAUGAAGAACGCAGCGAAACGCGAUAUGUAAUGUGAAUUGCAGAAUUCAGUGAAUCAUCGAAUCUUUGAACGCACAUGGCGCCUUCCAGUAUCCUGGGAGGCAUGCCUGUCCGAGCGUCGUUUCAACCCUCGAGCCCCCCGUGGCCCGGCGUUGGGGAUCUGCCACGGCAGGCCCCUAAAACCAGUGGCGGACCCGCUGGGCCCUCUCCUUUGCGCAGUAGCAUCAGCCUCGCAUCGGGAGCCCUCGGCGUCCUGCCUCUAAACCCCCCACAAGCCCGCUCCGGCGGCACCAAGGUGACUCGAUAGAGUCAUCACGCCA